UUUUUGUAGAGACAGAGUCUCCCUAUGUUGCCCAGGCUAGUCUCAAACCCCCAGGCUCAAGCUGUCCUCCUGCAUCAGCCUUCCAGUGUGGGAAUUACAGUUGUGAGCUACUGCACCCAUGAGAAUUUGCAUUUCUAACCAGUCUGUAGGUGAUGCUGAUGGUGCCGGGCACUAUACCAUGGGGACCACUGCUCUAGAAUAAAGCUGACUGAGUCUUUAGGGACAAGAGUAAACUCCAGCUGUAGCCCUGACUAUAGGUUGCUUCUGUCACCCCCUCUAGGGUAUGCAGAAAGAGAGGUACACAUCACCCACUCCAAGCCCUGGGGUCUAGAGGGAAGAGUCUUCAACCUCCAUGAGACACAGCCUCCCCCGAUGAAGAAGUAGGACUUCAAGGCUGGCAGAGGCCGCUGUCACAGCACCCACGAUGCCGCCUAUGAUGCCAGGAAUGCCAUGCAGAUUGUUAAUGCCACAUGUGUCCUGGAUGUGCAGCCGGGACUCCAGGAAUGGCUGGAGACGGGAGCCUCAUCUGCAAGAUGGGUGUGAUGAUCCCCUCAGAGGUGUUGGCAAGGCAUGGUGAUCAGCGCCCUCCAGGCCCAGGCAGUCAGAGCCACACCCCCAACGCCCUCAUGCUCACCAUGUCCAGCUUGCCCUUCUUGUGCAGGGCACUGGAUAUUGCCACCGAGGUAAGCACGCAGGCUGCCAAG
This is a long non-coding RNA of Pan troglodytes (chimpanzee), 704 nucleotides long. RefSeq lists it as uncharacterized. The transcript is spliced from 3 exons. The record is from RefSeq and is a predicted model, not a curated record. Lineage: Eukaryota; Metazoa; Chordata; Mammalia; Primates; Hominidae.